GGGCCCGCACAAGCGGUGGAGUAUGUGGUUUAAUUCGAUGCAACGCGAAGAACCUUACCAGGGUUUGACAUCCUGCGAAUCUCUUGGAAACGAGAGAGUGCCUUCGGGAGCGCAGUGACAGGUGGUGCAUGGCUGUCGUCAGCUCGUGUCGUGAGAUGUUGGGUUAAGUCCCGCAACGAGCGCAACCCACGUCUUUAGUUGCCAGCAUUUAGUUGGGCACUCUAGAGAGACCGCCGGUGAUAAACCGGAGGAAGGUGGGGACGACGUCAAGUCCUCAUGGCCCUUACGGGAUGGGCUACACACGUGCUACAAUGGCAGUGACAAUGGGUUAAUCCCCAAAAGCUGUCUCAGUUCGGAUUGAGGUCUGAAACUCGACCUCAUGAAGUCGGAAUCGCUAGUAAUCGCGUAAC
Molecule: ribosomal RNA, 410 nt
Filed under: uncultured bacterium
Lineage: Bacteria
Description: bacterial SSU rRNA
Rfam family: Bacterial small subunit ribosomal RNA
Source: RNAcentral